RNAcentral lists this ribosomal RNA (1347 nucleotides) under bacterium NLAE-zl-C78. Its description in RNAcentral is "16S ribosomal RNA". It matches the Rfam family "Bacterial small subunit ribosomal RNA", at positions 95 to 1451 of the family's 1533-position model. The record is from RNAcentral.
GUGGCGGACGGGUGAGUAACGCGUAAAGAACUUGCCUUACAGACUGGGACAACAUUUGGAAACGAAUGCUAAUACCGGAUAUUAUGAUUGGGUCGCAUGAUCUGGUUAUGAAAGCUAUAUGCGCUGUGAGAGAGCUUUGCGUCCCAUUAGUUAGUUGGUGAGGUAACGGCUCACCAAGACGAUGAUGGGUAGCCGGCCUGAGAGGGUGAACGGCCACAAGGGGACUGAGACACGGCCCUUACUCCUACGGGAGGCAGCAGUGGGGAAUAUUGGACAAUGGACCAAAAGUCUGAUCCAGCAAUUCUGUGUGCACGAAUGAAGUUUUUCGGAAUGUAAAGUGCUUUCAGUUGGGAAGAAAGUCAGUGACGGUACCAACAGAAGAAGCGACGGCUAAAUACGUGCCAGCAGCCGGCGGUAAUACGUAUGUCGCAAGCGUUAUCCGGANUUUAUUGGGCGUAAAGCGCGUCUAGGCGGCUUAGUAAGUCUGAUGUGAAAAUGCGGGGCUCAACCCCCGUAUUGCGUUGGAAACUGCUAAACUAGAGUACUGGAGAGGUAGGCGGAACUACAAGUGUAGAGGUGAAAUUCGUAGAUAUUUGUAGGAAUGCCGAUGGGGAAGCCAGCCUACUGGACAGAUACUGACGCUAAAGCGCGAAAGCGUGGGUAGCAAACAGGAUUAGAUACCCUGGUAGUCCACGCCGUAAACGAUGAUUACUAGGUGUUGGGGGUCGAACCUCAGCGCCCAAGCUAACGCGAUAAGUAAUCCGCCUGGGGAGUACGUACGCAAGUAUGAAACUCAAAGGAAUUGACGGGGACCCGCACAAGCGGUGGAGCAUGUGGUUUAAUUCGACGCAACGCGAGGAACCUUACCAGCGUUUGACAUCCCAAGAAGUUAACAGAGAUGUUUUCGUGCCUCUUCGGAGGAACUUGGUGACAGGUGGUGCAUGGCCUGUCGUCAGCUCGUGUCGUGAGAUGUUGGGUUAAGUCCCGCAAACAACGCAACCCCUUUCGUAUGUUACCAUCAUUAAGUUGGGGACUCAUGCGAGACUGCCUGCGAUGAGCAGGAGGAAGGUGGGGAUGACGUCAAGUCAUCAUGCCCCUUAUACGCUGGGCUACACACGUGCUACAAUGGGUAGUACAGAGAGCUGCAAACCUGCGAGGGUAAGCUAAUCUCAUAAAACUAUUCUUAGUUCGGAUUGUACUCUGCAACUCGAGUACAUGAAGUUGGAAUCGCUAGUAAUCGCAAAUCAGCUAUGUUGCGGUGAAUACGUUCUCGGGUCUUGUACACACCGCCCGUCACACCACGAGAGUUGGUUGCACCUGAAGUAACAGGCCUAACCGAAGGAGGGA